RNAcentral lists this ribosomal RNA (301 nucleotides) under uncultured bacterium. RNAcentral describes it as "partial 16S ribosomal RNA". It matches the Rfam family "Bacterial small subunit ribosomal RNA", at positions 509 to 807 of the family's 1533-position model. The record is from RNAcentral.
CAGUAGCCGCGGUAACACGAAGGGGGCUAGCGUUGUUCGGAAUUACUGGGCGUAAAGCGCACGUAGGCGGAUAUUUAAGUCAGGGGUGAAAUCCCGCAGCUCAACUGCGGAACUGCCUUUGAUACUGGGUAUCUUGAGUAUGGAAGAGGUUAGUGGAAUUGCGAGUGUAAAGGUGAAAUUCGUAGAUAUUCGCAGGAACACCAGUGGCGAAGGCGGCUAACUGGUCCAUAACUGACGCUGAGGUGCGAAAGCGUGGGGAGCAAACAGGAUUAGAUACCCCUGUAGUCCCUGUCUCUUAUAC